CCCUUUUGAGACCUCUAAACUCUGGAAAGUCAUUUCAUUCAGGAACCAUCCAAAGAGAGGAGGGAAUAGGCGGGAUGAUAUUUCCUUGGACAAAGCAUCCCAGGAGAUGUCCGUCCUACACCACCGUGCAGUAGGAAAGCCGCCCUAUUCUCCAGGAGGUGCUUCUAUAGCCGGAAUCUACACACCGUUUACAAUGCGGUGUCAGGACUGGCUGCUUCUCGCUUUCCCGGAUGAGCAGUAGGAGCUGUGCAAAGGAGACAUGGGUCGCUUGCUUUUGUCUAACAGCGGGAUCUGCUCAGUGCUAGGGUUCAAGGGAACCAGCCAGGUUUAGCAAAGGUCUAGCAGCUCAAGGCAGAGUCGGUAGAUGACAUGGAGCUGGAGGUGGAGUGGCGAAGGUGACAUUCCUGGGAAAGCGAUCCAGGGACAAGGCAGCCCGAAUAAAAGUUCCAAGCUCAAGAACAGGCCUUUGGCCAACACGACACAGAUUGCAAGGAUCCGGGGUAACCUGCAUGGAGCACGCCUGCCAGCUCCGGCAUAUUGUCUGACUGUGA
RNAcentral lists this long non-coding RNA (551 nucleotides) under Mustela putorius furo (domestic ferret). RNAcentral's name for it is "lncRNA (ENSMPUG00000023969.1)". The record is from RNAcentral. Lineage: Eukaryota; Metazoa; Chordata; Mammalia; Carnivora; Mustelidae.